GACGAGACUGCCGCGGGAGGCCCUCACAAGAAGCGAAGGAAGGGGAGAGCGCAAUGAGCGCUCCUGAGGUAGUCCCAGGCUUUGGAAUGCACUGCCCAGAAAAGCCAGGUUCGGCCCCUUCGUAUUGGCCUUCCUGUUAUGAGGCAAAAGACCUUCCUCUUCAGGCAGCCUUUUAAGUAAUGGAGAGCCUUGAGUAUGAGGACAAGGAGUUUAAAGCUGACAUAUGAUACCCAAUUCAAGGAGAUGGCUCUCUUAAAGAACUACAGAUGUAUCAAGCAAAAGGAGGUCAAGCUGACCAUGACUAUGGCUACAUCCUGACAACUCCAAGGCGAUUAAGCAAACUUCAUUUCUUUAAGCAUGACUGAGGCAGCCCAAAUCAGUGUAACCCAGUUAGUAUUGUCUAAGCAAUGUGUUGAAUCAUGUUCAUUUGGGGAGUGAUAAGCAGGAGAACUGACUGACCCUCAACAUGCUCUGGGGAUUUCCCACCUCAGACUUUGGGAAAGGGAGAAAGCACACCUGUAAAGGCUCAAUAUUAGUGCUAAUUUGGCAUAGAAUUUGCUUCCUGUUCCAAAACUUGCUGGAACAAUUUGGAGCAGUUUCACUCAAAAAGAAAGCCUUCUUUUUGUUACUGUGUAAUAAUAAUUGUAAAGAAAAAAAAUUAACACCACAGAACUGUAGUUUCCCACUUGUUCAGGUCUUAACAUGAUUGAACUAUUUUUUUGUGUUUAGACAAACAUUGAAAAUUGCUUCCAUUGCUUUCUGAUUUUUACCUCCCGGCCUUAGUCUGUGAUUUAUUGUCUGCCUUUCAAAUGUGACAUUUUUGUUGAUCUUCUUUAACAAUUAUCCACCCACUGUAUUAUACUAUUGAAACAGAGCUUCUCUACCCCCUCAUCCUUUUGGGCUUGCCAUGUUGCAAACAGAGUAUAUCAAGCUGAUGAAAUCUUACUUUUCUUUUUUAGAAAAGUUGGACUUUCCCAAGUAUAUUUGCAAAGGAACUGAACCACAGAACUCACGGGGUGGAACUCAAGGAGUAGGUAGCUACUCUAUUAAGUAUUGAGUAGCUAGUGGGGGGAAAGAUGCCCAAAAAGAAUAUGUGAAAGACUAUGCCGUUAUGAAUUAAAUAGGGUGGAAGCUCUCCUUCUCUCUCUCUCUCUCUCUGCCCCUGAACAUAUACUAGAACUGAGAACCAUCCAGUACAGUACAUUGCCAAAAAGUUCUGAGCAAAGAGAAGAAAGUACUUCUUCAUGCAACACAUGGGUUGAUUAUGGAAUUCACCAUAACAUUGCUGCCUUAAGUCCUGAAAAGAAGAAAGAGAGGAUAAAAAGAAAUUAAUUAAAUAAA
Long non-coding RNA from Pogona vitticeps (central bearded dragon), 1341 nucleotides. RefSeq lists it as uncharacterized. Lineage: Eukaryota; Metazoa; Chordata; Lepidosauria; Squamata; Agamidae. The record is from RefSeq and is a predicted model, not a curated record.